Molecule: non-coding RNA, 205 nt
Organism: Oryza punctata
Lineage: Eukaryota; Viridiplantae; Streptophyta; Magnoliopsida; Poales; Poaceae
Source: Rfam
UUUAAGCACAACCAUAAGUUUCCGUAUCCACCUUUGAUCGUCCGUUUUAUUUGAAAUUUUUUCUACGAUUAGUAUUUUUAUUGCUAUUAGAUAAUAAAACAUGAAUAGUACUUUAUACGUGACUUAUCUUUUUUUAAUAUUUUCAAUUUUUUCAAAUAAAACGAACAAUUAAAGUUGGAUACGGAAACUUAUGGAUGCGCUUAAA